GCGAGUGUAGCUCAGUUGGUUAGAGCACUCCACUGAUAAUGGAGAGGUCGUAGGUUCGAGUCCUACCACUCGCACCA
RNAcentral lists this transfer RNA (77 nucleotides) under Patescibacteria group bacterium. RNAcentral describes it as "tRNA-Ile". It matches the Rfam family "tRNA". Rfam says of the family: Transfer RNA (tRNA) molecules are approximately 80 nucleotides in length. Their secondary structure includes four short double-helical elements and three loops (D, anti-codon, and T loops). Further hydrogen bonds mediate the characteristic L-shaped molecular structure. tRNAs have two regions of fundamental functional importance: the anti-codon, which is responsible for specific mRNA codon recognition, and the 3' end, to which the tRNAs corresponding amino acid is attached (by aminoacyl-tRNA synthetases). tRNAs cope with the degeneracy of the genetic code in two manners: having more than one tRNA (with a specific anti-codon) for a particular amino acid; and 'wobble' base-pairing, i.e. permitting non-standard base-pairing at the 3rd anti-codon position. The record is from RNAcentral.